Molecule: ribosomal RNA, 501 nt
Filed under: Amanita virosa (European destroying angel)
Lineage: Eukaryota; Fungi; Basidiomycota; Agaricomycetes; Agaricales; Amanitaceae
Description: eukaryotic LSU rRNA
Rfam family: Eukaryotic large subunit ribosomal RNA
Source: RNAcentral
AGCGGGAAAAGCUCAAAUUUAAAAUCUGGCAGAUGCUUGUCUGUCCGAGUUGUAACCUAGAGAAGUGUAGCCUGUGCUGGACCGUGUACAAGUCUCCUGGAAUGGAGCAUCAUAGAGGGUGAGAAUCCCGUCUUUGACAUGGACUACCAGUGCACUGUGGUUGCACACUCAACGAGUCGAGUUGUUUGGGAAUGCAGCUCUAAAUGGGUGGUAAAUUCCAUCUAAAGCUAAAUAUUGGCGAGAGACCGAUAGCGAACAAGUACCGUGAGGGAAAGAUGAAAAGAACUUUGGAAAGAGAGUUAAACAGUAUGUGAAAUUGUUGAAAGGGAAACACUUGAAGUCAGCUGCAUUGGCUGGGGAUCAAGCCAGCUUAUUUGCUGGGUGUACUUCCUGGUUGAUGGGCCAACAUCAGUUUUGACCAUCAGAGAAAGGCAAAGGGAAUGUGGCACCUUUAUAGGUGUGUUAUAGCCCUUGGGUGNAUGUGGUGGNUGGGACUGAAGA